ACGGCGAGUGAAGCGGGACUAGCUCAGGAUGUGAAUCUGCGCUUUAUUGGCGCCGAAUUGUGGUCUGUAGACUUUGACGUUAUCUGCCGGGCCAAGUUCCUUGGAAAAGGACAGCUGAGAGGGUGAGACUCCCGUCCGCCUGGUUGAGUGAGUCAUUUGUCAACGAGUCGAGUUGUUUGGGAUUGCAGCUCUAAUUUGGUGGUAAAUUCCAUCUAAAGCUAAAUAUUGGUGGGAGACCGAUAGCGUACAAGUACCGUGAGGGAAAGAUGCAAAGAACUUUGAAAAGAGAGUUAAAGAGUACCUGAAACUGCUGAAACGGAAGCGAAGGAAACCAGUGUUUGUUUGUUCAUAUUUCCCUGGCCACUUGUGGUUUGGGCGCUGUGAGCUUGCGUGAGUUUGGGUUGGUUGAUCCCUUUGGAAGAGCGCAGUCAGAGUUGAUGUCUGUUGCUAGCACUGGGUUUGACUGAUGCAGACGAAAUGGUUUUCUUUACCCCGUCUUGAAACACGGACCAAGGAGUCUAACAUAUGUGCGAGUACAGGGGUGUCAAACCCCGGUGCGUAAUGAAAGUGACAGUGGUUGGAAUUUUGCACAAUCCGCCGGCCUCAAUCCUUCGGGAGAACGGUCUGAGUGUGAGCAUACAUGUUGGGACCCGAAAGAUGGUGAACUAUGCCUGAAUAGGGUGGAAGCCAGGGGAAACUCUGGUGGAGGCUCGUAGCGAUUCUGACGUGCAAAUCGAUCG
RNAcentral lists this ribosomal RNA (740 nucleotides) under Pseudo-nitzschia brasiliana. Its description in RNAcentral is "LSU rRNA". It matches the Rfam family "Eukaryotic large subunit ribosomal RNA", at positions 86 to 904 of the family's 3401-position model. The record is from RNAcentral. Lineage: Eukaryota; Bacillariophyta; Bacillariophyceae; Bacillariales; Bacillariaceae.